This 234-nucleotide ribosomal RNA is filed under the name uncultured bacterium. RNAcentral's name for it is "partial 16S ribosomal RNA". It matches the Rfam family "Bacterial small subunit ribosomal RNA", at positions 100 to 334 of the family's 1533-position model. The record is from RNAcentral.
CGGGACGGGUGAGUAAUGUCUGGGAAAACUGCCUGAUGGAGGGGGAUAACUACUGGAAACGGUAGCUAAUACCGCAUAACGUCGCAAGACCAAAGAGGGGGACCUUAGGGCCUCUUGCCAUCGGAUGUGCCCAGAUGGGAUUAGCUAGUAGGUGGGGUAACGGCUCACCUAGGCGACGAUCCCUAGCUGGUCUGAGAGGAUGACCAGCCACACUGGAACUGAGACACGGUCCAG